This 318-nucleotide ribosomal RNA is filed under the name uncultured eukaryote. Its description in RNAcentral is "partial 18S ribosomal RNA". It matches the Rfam family "Eukaryotic small subunit ribosomal RNA", at positions 1470 to 1796 of the family's 1831-position model. The record is from RNAcentral.
CCCUUAGAUGUCCUGGGCCGCACGCGUGCUACACUGACGCAUACAGCGAGCACUUUCCAGUUCCGAGAGGCUACUGGUAAUCAUCAAUAUGCGUCGUGAUGGGGAUAGAUCUUUGGAAUUCUGGAUCUUGAACGAGGAAUGCCUAGUAAUCGCAGGUCAUUAGCCUGCGAUGAUUAAGUCCCUGCCCUUUGUACACACCGCCCGUCGCUACUACCGAGUUCGAGUGGUCAGGUGAAUCUUUCGGACUGUGGGCGCCCUUGAGGUGUUCGCGGAAAGUCAGGUAAAUCUUAUCACUUAGAGGAAGUAAAAGUCGUAACA